Long non-coding RNA from Bufo bufo (common toad), 144 nucleotides. RefSeq lists it as uncharacterized. The record is from RefSeq and is a predicted model, not a curated record. Lineage: Eukaryota; Metazoa; Chordata; Amphibia; Anura; Bufonidae. The transcript has 4 exons.
GAUCCUUGAGCAAAGGUGGUCCCCACCAAAAGCAGCAGUAGAAGGCCCCACAUGUCUUCUAAGUGUCUUCUUACACUUCAGAUAGUCUUCUUCAGUUGUGUUCUGCUGCUGGAUUAAUUCUGACACUUUCUUGACCCAGUGACA